RNAcentral lists this ribosomal RNA (253 nucleotides) under uncultured bacterium. RNAcentral describes it as "partial 16S ribosomal RNA". It matches the Rfam family "Bacterial small subunit ribosomal RNA", at positions 524 to 776 of the family's 1533-position model. The record is from RNAcentral.
GACGAACCGUGCGAACGUUGUUCGGAAUCACUGGGCUUAAAGGGCGCGUAGGCGGUCACGCACGUCCGGGGUGAAAUCUUUCGGCUUAACCGGAAAAGGGCCCUGGAUACGGCGUGACUGGAGGGGGAGAGGGGCGGACGGAACUUCCGGUGGAGCGGUGAAAUGCGUUGAUAUCGGAAGGAACGCCGGUGGCGAAAGCGGUCCGCUGGAUCCCUACUGACGCUGAGGCGCGAAAGCCAGGGGAGCAAACGGG